Molecule: long non-coding RNA, 331 nt
Filed under: Homo sapiens (human)
Lineage: Eukaryota; Metazoa; Chordata; Mammalia; Primates; Hominidae
Description: long non-coding RNA NONHSAT223302.1
Source: RNAcentral
UCCAGUGAUUCAGCCACAUGUGAUAGAUGACCAAGUGACUGCUUUCUUGGAGUCCGCACACCAGUGGAAGACUCUCAAAGUGGUUGUGACCGACUUGAUCAAACUCUAGGCUUCCUGAACUGGAAUGAAAUGCAGAUAACUCUUUAGAAAACUUUUGUAGGAAAAGCGCCUCGUGUGAUCUGGAACAAAGACGUUUUAUAAUCAGAUUUAUCAAGCUGCGAAGAGGGAGUUUUAGUGAACGGAAGCAGCAGCAUUCUGUCACCAGGAAAUACUCCUUUAUCCAGAAUUGGUAAGUGAAAAGUGGCAUUGCUCCCUAAUAGAUAUCAUAUGC